RNAcentral lists this unclassified non-coding RNA (392 nucleotides) under uncultured fungus. RNAcentral's name for it is "partial contains small subunit ribosomal RNA, internal transcribed spacer 1, and 5.8S ribosomal RNA". The stretch from base 1 to 73 matches the Rfam family "Eukaryotic small subunit ribosomal RNA", at positions 1759 to 1831 of the family's 1831-position model. Lineage: Eukaryota; Fungi. The record is from RNAcentral.
CCAAACUUGGUCAUUUAGAGGAAGUAAAAGUCGUAACAAGGUUUCCGUAGGUGAACCUGCGGAAGGAUCAUUAACACGUAUCCACGUAUCAACCCCUCUGUGCACUUGCAAAAGAUAGGCGUGGUCGGAGUGUGCUGUUUGCUCGUCGUAAUGAUGGGAGUGUUGUAAUAACACUCGCGACAUAUGAGUGAGCGCACGCGUUUGACGAUCUCGCCGCUAUUUUCCCAUCGUUAGCCCUUUUUAACUUAUUUAACCCCUUUGUACUUCUCAUGUACUGAACCAAUUCUUUCGAUGCUUCCACUUCGUGUGAAGCGACGAAAAGAUAUUACGAAACUAAAAGAACAACUCUUAGCAACGGAUAUCUUGGUUCCCGCAUCGAUGAAGAACGCAGC